This 220-nucleotide long non-coding RNA is filed under the name Lathyrus oleraceus (garden pea). RNAcentral's name for it is "Pisum sativum (pea) long non-coding RNA (PSAT_LNC034871)". The record is from RNAcentral. Lineage: Eukaryota; Viridiplantae; Streptophyta; Magnoliopsida; Fabales; Fabaceae.
UUGAUAUUGCCGUUGCUGAAUAUGUGUAAUCUGAUUAGGGUGAUGAUAUGUGUUAUAUUACUUAGCAUUACAUGAUAUUUUAUAAUGCUUAUUAUAUCGAUUGAAGGACUCACCCUUACAACUAUGUUUUCAGGUAACGAGCAGUGAUUGAAUAGAAGCUAGUCCUGGGAGUCUAGUGUAGUCCUUAGUGGGUCAUGCUCUGGUAGAUGUAACAUCGGGA